This 66-nucleotide non-coding RNA is filed under the name Streptomyces sp. CB03238. Lineage: Bacteria; Bacillati; Actinomycetota; Actinomycetes; Kitasatosporales; Streptomycetaceae. The record is from RNAcentral.
UGCCGAAACCUCCUGGAAGGAGGUCGUCGUGGGGUGGUGCCCACGGCCUGACGAAGGCAGCCCGCU